Molecule: long non-coding RNA, 489 nt
Organism: Galeopterus variegatus (Sunda flying lemur)
Lineage: Eukaryota; Metazoa; Chordata; Mammalia; Dermoptera; Cynocephalidae
Exons: 2
Source: RefSeq, a predicted model, not a curated record
AGAUGCUUGAUUUAUUCCCUACUGUCUGCCAGUCAGAGCUAUCCUGCUUGGAAGAAGGGUGUGCAGUGUGAUGGCUGAAGAACAAGAAGCCUGGGAUUUGCCACUAUGUAUCUGAAGCUUUGGUGACUGGUGUUUGGAAGGACCUGGGCCUCAAUGCUAGCAAGCAAGGUCCCUUUCUGGAGAUUCUAGUUCGUCUGCUCUCUUUUAACUUUUCCCCGUCACCUACCUACCACCUGCUAACCAAUGGCACCACUCAACAGGUCUCAAGAAGAGGGCUAUUUCCAGUGUCUCCCUGUUCAGCUGCUGGCACUGCAGCUUGGUAUUCAAUGCAGGGAACAUUUUGUACCCAUAUCUGGCCUUAUUGGAAGAACAAGCUUCUAUUCUCCUGGUUUCCUGGCUUUGGAUAAUUCUUCACUAACUUUUUCAUUAAGUCAGUGGGAAGAAACCAGCAGAACCCAUUAUUUAAUUAAAAUUUUUUAUUAAAAAUUU